GAUGAACGCUGGCGGCGUGCCUAACACAUGCAAGUCGAACGGAGAUUACGGACGGAAGUUUUCGGAUGGAAGACUGUAAUUCUUAGUGGCGGACGGGUGAGUAACGCGUGGGCAACCUGCCCUAUACAGGGGGAUAGCAGCUGGAAACGGCUGGUAAGACCGCAUAAGUCGGUUAAAUCGCAUGAUUUGAUCGGGAAAUGAGCAAUCAGGUAUAGGAUGGGCCCGCGUCCGAUUAGCCAGUUGGCAGGGUAAAAGCCUACCAAAGUGACGAUCGGUAGCCGGACUGAGAGGUCGGACGGCCACAUUGGGACUGAGACACGGCCCAAACUCCUACGGGAGGCAGCAGUGGGGGAUAUUGCACAAUGGAGGAAACUCUGAUGCAGCGACGCCGCGUGAGUGAAGAAGUAUUUCGGUAUGUAAAGCUCUAUCAGCAGGGAAGAUGAUGACGGUACCUGAGUAA
This 460-nucleotide ribosomal RNA is filed under the name Catonella morbi. RNAcentral's name for it is "bacterial SSU rRNA". It matches the Rfam family "Bacterial small subunit ribosomal RNA", at positions 28 to 486 of the family's 1533-position model. The record is from RNAcentral. Lineage: Bacteria; Bacillati; Bacillota; Clostridia; Lachnospirales; Lachnospiraceae.